GUAAAAUAUCAUGGGAGAACUAAUGGGUUUAUCCUGUUCUUUGUAAGAGCAUCAUAGAAGCAUUCCCAUCUGUGGCUCUUAACCAUUUGUAAUGUUUUCUAGAGCCAAACGCAAUUUGAGUACGUAUCCAGUGCUCAGAAUCCACGAUUUCUCAUCCUUAGAUCAGCAAAUACUAGACCACUUUACCAUUGAUCACAGAAAUUAGACCCCAUAAAAGAUUACUGUGCUCUAUAUUUCCUUAUAUAAACAUUUGCUGACAAGAAAUUUAAUGUACAAGAUGCAUGAAGCACAAAGGCAUUUCACAAACAAAAUUUGUACAAAGUUGGUAAACAAGAAUGGGGAUAAAAUACUUAGUCAUGCUUGAGCAAUCCCCUUUUUCACCAGCAUAUCAUAAACUUUAUCCACUUUGCUUGGCUCCACUUUGAACAGGAUAUGUGCAUCAGAUUUCUUGCUAACAGUGCCCUUCAUAAUCUCCAAUGACAUUUUCUGAAGCAUGCUGAGAUAAUGUGAAGGUAGUAUUCUCAGCUCACCACAAAGACGUUUCUCCUGUGUGCAAGAAUACCACACAAGAAGUAAAAAAACCUCAAGCUUUGAACACAAUUUGUGCACACAUAUAUUUUAGAUCAAGAAGUUUGGGUGGUGGCGUCCAAAAUUAACUGAGAACUAAAAAUUGUAAGGGCACAGUGGAAAAUAUAAACAUCAUCUGACAACUAAGAGUUAAAGAUUAGAAAAUUCCAAAGAUUAUCCAAUUUCAAGUACAAUCAAUCCUUUUAAUCUUGUAAAUUGUUACCAAACUUGCACGGGCAUUAAACUCUCAAAUUGCUAACGUGGCAUACAUUCAAUUCAAAAAAGAUUCAUACAAAAAUAUGAGAUGGUUGUGUAAGACCCACAGAAAGAAAAAACACUAAUGCUAUAUUUUAAAAUGAUUAAUUAUUUUUAACACAAAUAAAAAUAGGGAAAAUAAAGAUAAUUCGCGUCAUGCUUUCUCUUUAGUUUACCCUUCACUGUUAAAUAUACUGUCAUGAUUUUAAUGAAAAAUAUGUGCCACAUCAGCAUUUUGGAGUUUGGCAUGUCCUUUGAAGUUUAACUGUAAUGGACACUGAUUUAAAACUGUGUAUAUAAUUGACUAAAGAACUAGUUAUCAUUGCAAAUUGGACAAAGGUGGAGUCUUUUGUUGAUUAACCAUAACAAAAUUAUCAAUAAGUUGAAACAGCAUCUUACUGAUUCAGAGAGCAAAUCCGCCCCAAGGAAUCCAGAGAUAUCCCAAUCAUCUAGGGGGCUUGAGAUAUAAGCGGACCCCCUAACAACUCCACAGGGGCUUCCAUCAACAUCUCCUUUAACAUUACUAGGCCUCUGCAACACUUUAGCACCUGGACCAGCUAUUGUACUUUCUUUCACUCUUUGGGCACCUUCAUCAGAUUCCUUCUGUUGCUUCUGCUCGAUAAAUCUAUUCACCUCAGCAGCUGUUUGACAGCCAGCAGCUCGAGCUUCCUGGAGAUCCUGUAUUCUUUUAACAAUCCGAUGUUCCUCAAUAACACACUUCAUCAAUUCUUCAUGCUCUUCUUUUGAGUGGAACCUCAUGAAGACCUUGUAACGUUGAUAUAUUUCUCUCUCUUCACGUGAAAGGGUAUUCUCAAAUGCAUCUGGGUAAAGUAAAUUUCUUUCUAGUAUGAAAUCUUUCCUACGCUUCCUCUCAUCCAGCCUUUUUGAGUAUAUAUGCAGAACUCGUAGUUUCAGCUCACGUUCAGCAUCAGUGUCAGUAUCCUUGAACUCCAUAUCUGCCAACAACUGCUCUGCAUCAUUAUCAUA
Molecule: unclassified non-coding RNA, 1809 nt
Filed under: Hevea brasiliensis (rubber tree)
Lineage: Eukaryota; Viridiplantae; Streptophyta; Magnoliopsida; Malpighiales; Euphorbiaceae
Source: RNAcentral